RNAcentral lists this unclassified non-coding RNA (216 nucleotides) under Hevea brasiliensis (rubber tree). Lineage: Eukaryota; Viridiplantae; Streptophyta; Magnoliopsida; Malpighiales; Euphorbiaceae. The record is from RNAcentral.
AAAGAAUAUGUAACGCCCCGUUAGCAACAUCAAGAAACUGGUAAUCUACAAGUAUGACUUUUGCCUCUGAAUGUUUGAGUAAAACCGAGAUCAUUGCUGAAUCGUGACGAAUAUUGAGAGUAGAAAGAACUGCCCCAGCCAUAGGUACCGCAAAGUGUAGCUCAUAUAUUGCAGGAAUAUUUGGAGCCAAGGCAGCAACGACAUCGCCACGAGAAA